UUAGCUGCUAUAGGAUAUAUUCAGAUCCAACCAGAUUCCUGUCAUACGCAUGGAAAUAAUCAAAAUACUUCCAAAAAUAUAUGUAUAAACUGGAAUGAGCAGAGAUCUGGCAAUUAAAAGUGCUCACAGCAUAUCCCAUGCACUCCGAGAUGCUGCGGAAUGGCCAAACUUGAAGCCAACGUGUCCUAUCCCCUCCCAGCGGAGGACACUGCAGUUAUUUUUGGGGCACUUUGCGAAACAAACACAGUCAUAUUUCAUCAAACAAAAGGACGAAACGAUAGCAAUAAUAUAAGAGCCAAAGGCCCGAGACACAGACCGGAAGAGAUAAAGCAUUGCUCAUUGGCUCGCACGCAGGCGACAAACGAUGAACAGACCUGGGUACCAUUAGAGGUACAUACAUAGCAUGUGGCAUGCCUUCCCUGUGGCGACACAAACACACGCACAUUACAAUUCGGCAGACGGCGCAGUUGUCGAGCACAUCCGCAAUGCAAGAUCCACAUACGUGACAGGUAAACGAGGUAAUUUUAAUUAUGGCCACAUUGGAGUCGUGUACAAUCGAUGUCGAUGUCUUCCUUGGUUCAUCAGCAUGCCGCCAGCGUGUGCUUCUGCGUCUGCGGAGUGCUGAGUAUGAUGAGGUUGCCACCACCCACUACAGCUCCCGCCAGGGCCGUUAUGGAUGCGCGCCAAAUUGGGAUGGAAGGGCUACAGGACUGGAUCUGUCUGUGUUUGCCUCUUAGCCAAAUUACAUAAUUUAGCAGCGGCCUUUUUUUCGACUCA
This is a long non-coding RNA of Drosophila pseudoobscura, 777 nucleotides long. RefSeq lists it as uncharacterized. The record is from RefSeq and is a predicted model, not a curated record. The transcript has 2 exons. Lineage: Eukaryota; Metazoa; Arthropoda; Insecta; Diptera; Drosophilidae.